This 87-nucleotide transfer RNA is filed under the name Spirobacillus cienkowskii. RNAcentral's name for it is "tRNA-Leu". It matches the Rfam family "tRNA". From Rfam's summary of the family: Transfer RNA (tRNA) molecules are approximately 80 nucleotides in length. Their secondary structure includes four short double-helical elements and three loops (D, anti-codon, and T loops). Further hydrogen bonds mediate the characteristic L-shaped molecular structure. tRNAs have two regions of fundamental functional importance: the anti-codon, which is responsible for specific mRNA codon recognition, and the 3' end, to which the tRNAs corresponding amino acid is attached (by aminoacyl-tRNA synthetases). tRNAs cope with the degeneracy of the genetic code in two manners: having more than one tRNA (with a specific anti-codon) for a particular amino acid; and 'wobble' base-pairing, i.e. permitting non-standard base-pairing at the 3rd anti-codon position. Lineage: Bacteria; Pseudomonadati; Bdellovibrionota; Oligoflexia; Silvanigrellales. The record is from RNAcentral.
GCAGAGAUGGCGGAAUUGGUAGACGCGCUCGUUUCAGGUGCGAGUAGCUGCAAAGCUGUUGGAGUUCGAGUCUCCUUCUCUGCACCA